RNAcentral lists this ribosomal RNA (340 nucleotides) under uncultured bacterium. Its description in RNAcentral is "bacterial SSU rRNA". It matches the Rfam family "Bacterial small subunit ribosomal RNA", at positions 30 to 371 of the family's 1533-position model. The record is from RNAcentral.
AUUGAACGCUGGCGGCAUGCCUUACACAUGCAAGUCGAACGGCAGCACGGGAGCAAUCCUGGUGGCGAGUGGCGAACGGGUGAGUAAUAUAUCGGAACGUGCCCAGUCGUGGGGAUAACGUAGCGAAAGCUACGCUAAUACCGCAUACGAUCUAUGGAUGAAAGCGGGGGAUCGCAAGACCUCGCGCGAUUGGAGCGGCCGAUAUCAGAUUAGGUAGUUGGUGAGGUAAAGGCUCACCAAGCCGACGAUCUGUAGCUGGUCUGAGAGGACGACCAGCCACACUGGGACUGAGACACGGCCCAGACUCCUACGGGAGGCAGCAGUGGGGAAUAUUGGACAA